This 485-nucleotide ribosomal RNA is filed under the name uncultured bacterium. RNAcentral describes it as "partial 16S ribosomal RNA". It matches the Rfam family "Bacterial small subunit ribosomal RNA", at positions 28 to 507 of the family's 1533-position model. The record is from RNAcentral.
GAUGAACGCUAGCGAUAGGCCUAACACAUGCAAGUCGAGGGGCAGCGAGGGUAGCAAUACCUGUCGGCGACCGGCGCACGGGUGAGUAACGCGUAUGUAACCUGCCCGCAACAGGGGGAUAACCCGGCGAAAGUCGGACUAAUACCGCAUAAAAUAGGGGUCCCGCAUGGGAGUAUUUGUUAAAGAUUCAUCGGUUGCGGAUGGGCAUGCGUACCAUUAGGUAGUUGGUGAGGUAACGGCUCACCAAGCAGUCGAUGGUUAGGGGUUCUGGGAGGAAGGUCCCUCAUACUGGAACAGGGACACGGACAAGGCUACUACGGGAGGCAGCAGUGAGGAAUGGGGGGCAGUGGGCGGGAGCCUGAACCAGCCAAGUCGAGUGAAAGAUGGCUGCCCUGUGGGUUGUAAACUUCUUUUACAAGGGAAUAGAAUGAGUUACGGGUAUUUUAUUGAAUGUACCUUGAGAAUAAGCAUCGGCUAACUCCGUG